AAAGAGGAUUCGUCCAAUUGAAGCAGAGGACAGUGGCGGACGGGUGAGUAACGCGUGAGGAACCUGCCUUUCAGAGGGGGACAACAGUUGGAAACGACUGCUAAUACCGCAUAACAUAUAGAUGUCGCAUGGCAUUUAUAUCAAAGAUUUAUCGCUGAAAGAUGGCCUCGCAUCUGAUUAGCUAGUUGGUGAGGUAACGGCCCACCAAGGCGACGAUCAGUAGCCGGACUGAGAGGUUGACCGGCCACAUUGGGACUGAGAUACGGCCCAGACUCCUACGGGAGGCAGCAGUGGGGAAUAUUGGGCAAUGGGCGCAAGCCUGACCCAGCAACGCCGCGUGAAGGAAGAAGGCUUUCGGGUUGUAAACUUCUUUUAAGUGGGAAGAGCAGAAGACGGUACCACUUGAAUAAGCCACGGCUAACUACGUGCCAGCAGCCGCGGUAAUACGUAGGUGGCAAGCGUUGUCCGGAUUUACUGGGUGUAAAGGGCGUGCAGCCGGGCAUGCAAGUCAGAUGUGAAAUCUCAGGGCUUAUCCCUGAAACUGCAUUUGAAACUGUAUGUCUUGAGUGCCGGA
Molecule: ribosomal RNA, 574 nt
Filed under: uncultured bacterium
Lineage: Bacteria
Description: bacterial SSU rRNA
Rfam family: Bacterial small subunit ribosomal RNA
Source: RNAcentral